RNAcentral lists this ribosomal RNA (466 nucleotides) under uncultured bacterium. RNAcentral's name for it is "bacterial SSU rRNA". It matches the Rfam family "Bacterial small subunit ribosomal RNA", at positions 338 to 795 of the family's 1533-position model. The record is from RNAcentral.
CCUACGGGGGGCUGCAGUGAGGAAUUUUGCGCAAUGGGGGAAACCCUGACGCAGCAACGCCGCGUGAGUGAUGAAGGCCUUCGGGUCGUAAAGCUCUGUCAAGUGGGAAGAACCUGCCCUGUGCUAAUAUCACCGGGCACUGACGGUACCACUGAAGGAAGCACCGGCUAACUCCGUGCCAGCAGCCGCGGUAACACGGGGGGUGCAAGCGUUAUUCGGAAUCACUGGGCGUAAAGAGCGCGUAGGCGGUCUCUUAAGUCAGAUGUGAAAGCCCGGGGCUCAACCCCGGAAGUGCAUUUGAAACGAAGGGACUUGAGUAUGGGAGAGGGAAGUGGAAUUCCUGGUGUAGCGGUGAAAUGCGUAGAUAUCAGGAGGAACACCGGUGGCGAUGGCGACUUCCUGGACCAAUACUGACGCUGAGGCGCGAAGGCGUGGGGAGCAAACAGGAUUAGAUACCCGUGUAGUC